CGGACGGGUGAGUAAUGCCUAGGAAAUUGCCUUGAUGUGGGGGAUAACCAUUGGAAACGAUGGCUAAUACCGCAUGAUGCCUACGGGCCAAAGAGGGGGACCUUCGGGCCUCUCGCGUCAAGAUAUGCCUAGGUGGGAUUAGCUAGUUGGUGAGGUAAUGGCUCACCAAGGCGACGAUCCCUAGCUGGUCUGAGAGGAUGAUCAGCCACACUGGAACUGAGACACGGUCCAGACUCCUACGGGAGGCAGCAGUGGGGAAUAUUGCACAAUGGGCGAAAGCCUGAUGCAGCCAUGCCGCGUGUAUGAAGAAGGCCUUCGGGUUGUAAAGUACUUUCAGUUGUGAGGAAGGGUGUGUAGUUAAUAGCUGCGCAUCUUGACGUUAGCAACAGAAGAAGCACCGGCUAACUCCGUGCCAGCAGCCGCGGUAAUACGGAGGGUGCGAGCGUUAAUCGGAAUUACUGGGCGUAAAGCGCAUGCAGGUGGUUCAUUAAGUCAGAUGU
Molecule: ribosomal RNA, 500 nt
Filed under: Vibrio cyclitrophicus
Lineage: Bacteria; Pseudomonadati; Pseudomonadota; Gammaproteobacteria; Vibrionales; Vibrionaceae
Description: bacterial SSU rRNA
Rfam family: Bacterial small subunit ribosomal RNA
Source: RNAcentral